GAUGAACGCUGGCGGCGUGCCUAACACAUGCAAGUCGAACGGAGAUUACGGACGGAAGUUUUCGGAUGGAAGACUGUAAUUCUUAGUGGCGGACGGGUGAGUAACGCGUGGGCAACCUGCCCUAUACAGGGGGAUAGCAGCUGGAAACGGCUGGUAAGACCGCAUAAAUCGGCGAGACCGCAUGGUUUUGCCGGGAAAUGAGCAAUCAGGUAUAGGAUGGGCCCGCGUCCGAUUAGCCAGUUGGCAGGGUAAAAGCCUACCAAAGCAACGAUCGGUAGCCGGACUGAGAGGUCGGACGGCCACAUUGGGACUGAGACACGGCCCAAACUCCUACGGGAGGCAGCAGUGGGGGAUAUUGCACAAUGGAGGAAACUCUGAUGCAGCGACGCCGCGUGAGUGAAGAAGUAUUUCGGUAUGUAAAGCUCUAUCAGCAGGGAAGAUGAUGACGGUACCUGACUAAGAAGCCCCGGCUAACUACGUG
Molecule: ribosomal RNA, 481 nt
Filed under: uncultured bacterium
Lineage: Bacteria
Description: partial 16S ribosomal RNA
Rfam family: Bacterial small subunit ribosomal RNA
Source: RNAcentral